UAAGGAAUAUUGGUCAAUGGACGCAAGUCUGAACCAGCCAUGCCGCGUGGAGGAUGAAGGUCCUCUGGAUUGUAAACUUCUUUUAUCUGGGAAGAAAUGCAUCUUUUCUAAGGUGUUUGACGGUACCAGAUGAAUAAGCACCGGCUAACUCCGUGCCAGCAGCCGCGGUAAUACGGAGGGUGCAAGCGUUAUCCGGAUUCACUGGGUUUAAAGGGUGCGUAGGUGGGCAGUUAAGUCAGUGGUGAAAUCUCCGGGCUCAACCCGGAAACUGCCAUUGAUACUAUCUGUCUUGAAUAUCGUGGAGGUAAGCGGAAUAUGUCAUGUAGCGGUGAAAUGCUUAGAUAUGACAUAGAACACCAAUUGCGAAGGCAGCUUACUACCCGAAUAUUGACACUGAGGCACGAAAGCGUGGGGAUCAAACA
Molecule: ribosomal RNA, 422 nt
Filed under: uncultured Chitinophagaceae bacterium
Lineage: Bacteria; Pseudomonadati; Bacteroidota; Chitinophagia; Chitinophagales; Chitinophagaceae
Description: bacterial SSU rRNA
Rfam family: Bacterial small subunit ribosomal RNA
Source: RNAcentral